RNAcentral lists this ribosomal RNA (497 nucleotides) under uncultured bacterium. RNAcentral's name for it is "partial 16S ribosomal RNA". It matches the Rfam family "Bacterial small subunit ribosomal RNA", at positions 28 to 507 of the family's 1533-position model. The record is from RNAcentral.
GAUGAACGCUGGCGGCGUGCCUAAUACAUGCAAGUCGAGCGAACGGACGAGAAGCUUGCUCCUCUGAUGUUAGCGGCGGACGGGUGAGUAACACGUGGAUAACCUACCUAUAAGACUGGGAUAACUUCGGGAAACCGGAGCUAAUACCGGAUGAUAUUUUGAACCGCAUGGUUCAAUAGUGAAAGACGGUCUUGCUGUCACUUAUAGAUGGAUCCGCGCCGCAUUAGCUAGUUGGUAAGGUAACGGCUUACCAAGGCAACGAUGCGUAGCCGACCUGAGAGGGUGAUCGGCCACACUGGAACUGAGACACGGUCCAGACUCCUACGGGAGGCAGCAGUAGGGAAUCUUCCGCAAUGGGCGAAAGCCUGACGGAGCAACGCCGCGUGAGUGAUGAAGGUCUUCGGAUCGUAAAACUCUGUUAUUAGGGAAGAACAUAUGUGUAAGUAACUGUGCACAUCUUGACGGUACCUAAUCAGAAAGCCACGGCUAACUACGUG